Nicotiana attenuata is the source of this 241-nucleotide long non-coding RNA. RefSeq lists it as uncharacterized. The record is from RefSeq and is a predicted model, not a curated record. The transcript is spliced from 3 exons. Lineage: Eukaryota; Viridiplantae; Streptophyta; Magnoliopsida; Solanales; Solanaceae.
AGCGGGUAUUGGCUGUAUGAAGGCAGAGCUGUAGGAGUUUAGCGAGAUUCGACACGCGAGGAGGCUGACUUGAGAGUCAAGGGCACAGCGAGCUAGAGAAUUGGCCGGCUUGAGAUGCAGGUAUUUAUUCACCCGAUAGCGGGUCUUGGCUGUGUGAAGGCAGAGCUGUAGGAGUUUAGCGAGGUGACUGCCAGCGUUCGCAGCACGGUUUCUCUCCCUGUUGUUCAUUAUUCCUGUUCAG